UACGUAGGUCCCGAGCGUUGUCCGGAUUUAUUGGGCGUAAAGCGAGCGCAGGUGGUUUAUUAAGUCUGGUGUAAAAGGCAGUGGCUCAACCAUUGUAUGCAUUGGAAACUGGUAGACUUGAGUGCAGGAGAGGAAAGUGGAAUUCCAUGUGUAGCGAUGAAAUGCGUAGAUAUAUGGAGGAACACCGGUGGCGAAAGCGGCUCUCUGGCCUGUAACUGACACUGAGGCUCGAAAGCGUGGGGAGCAAACAGG
Molecule: ribosomal RNA, 252 nt
Filed under: uncultured bacterium
Lineage: Bacteria
Description: partial 16S ribosomal RNA
Rfam family: Bacterial small subunit ribosomal RNA
Source: RNAcentral